This 709-nucleotide ribosomal RNA is filed under the name uncultured bacterium. RNAcentral describes it as "bacterial SSU rRNA". It matches the Rfam family "Bacterial small subunit ribosomal RNA", at positions 76 to 782 of the family's 1533-position model. The record is from RNAcentral.
UUGCUCUCUGGGUGGCGAGUGGCGGACGGGUGAGGAAUACAUCGGAAUCUACUCUGUCGUGGGGGAUAACGUAGGGAAACUUACGCUAAUACCGCAUACGACCUACGGGUGAAAGCAGGGGAUCUUCGGACCUUGCGCGAUUGAAUGAGCCGAUGUCGGAUUAGCUAGUUGGCGGGGUAAAGGCCCACCAAGGCGACGAUCCGUAGCUGGUCUGAGAGGAUGAUCAGCCACACUGGAACUGAGACGCGGUCCAGACUCCUACGGGAGGCAGCAGUGGGGAAUAUUGGACAAUGGGCGCAAGCCUGAUCCAGCCAUACCGCGUGGGUGAAGAAGGCCUUCGGGUUGUAAAGCCCUUUUGUUGGGAAAGAAAUCCAGCCGGCUAAUACCUGGUUGGGAUGACGGUACCCAAAGAAUAAGCACCGGCUAACUUCGUGCCAGCAGCCGCGGUAAUACGAAGGGUGCAAGCGUUACUCGGAAUUACUGGGCGUAAAGCGUGCGUAGGUGGUCGUUUAAGUCCGUUGUGAAAGCCCUGGGCUCAACCUGGGAACUGCAGUGGAUACUGGGCGACUAGAGUGUGGUAGAGGGUAGCGGAAUUCCUGGUGUAGCAGUGAAAUGCGUAGAGAUCAGGAGGAACAUCCAUGGCGAAGGCAGCUACCUGGACCAACACUGACACUGAGGCACGAAAGCGUGGGGAGCAAACAGGAUUAGA